AGAAAGUUCAAGAGUUGUGAAAUUGUAAAAAUUUCUCGGGUUGAGAAUUGUAGGGCAGAUGUCUUGUCAAGAUUGGUGUUCAUGGGAUUAGAGGGGCUUGACAGGACAGUCCACGUCAGAAUUGUAACCGAGCCAAGCAUCAAUCAGACUGUAGACGUCAUGGAUAUUGAUAAUGAGACAUCAUGGAUGGACCCAAUAGUGGACUUUAUAAAACAUGGCAGUCUUCCAACAGAUCCUCGGGCAGCGAGAAGCAUCCGGUCCAAAGCUCCGAGGUAUUGCAUGAUUGAAGGUAUUUUAUUUCGCAGGAGCCUCACACUUCCGUACCUCAGAUGCCUUAGGCCUUCCGAAUCAUCCCAGGCCCUAGAAGAAGUUCAUGAAGGUGUAUUUGGGAACCAUCAAGGAGAACGGGAUUUAGCCUUCAAGCUCAUAAGGUAUUGAUAUUAUUGGCCAACCAUGAAGAAAGACGCCCAGGAAUAUGUCAAGAAGUGUGACAAGUGCCAAAGAUCUGGCAAUGUCAUCCACCCUCCCGCAGAAGACCUCACUAGCAUUACUUGCACAGCCCCAUUUGAGUAGUGGGGAAUUGACAUCCUUGGUCCCUUUCCAAUAAGUAGGGGACAAUUGAAGUUUGUGGCUGUGGCUGUAGAGUUUUUCACUAAGUGGGUAGAGGCCGAGCCUUUAGCAACAAUUUCAGAGCCGAAGUUAAGAAGUUUCAUUUGGAGAUCCAUCAUAUGUAGGUUCGGGAUAUCGAAAGACCUCAUAACUGAUAAUGGCAGGCAAUUUGACAAUGCACAAUUUAAAAACUUUUAUACCGACCUAGGGGUUGAUCACCGUUUGACAUCGGUUUCCCAUCCUCAAAGUAAUGGUCUCGUCGAAGUGACCAAUCGGAUUAUAUUGCAAGACCUCCGUACAAGGAUCGGUGAUGCAAGAGGUUCCUGGUCUGACGAGUUGCCUUUCAUACUUUGGACGUAUAGAACGUCACACAAAACUGCUACAGGGGAAACCCCCUUCAUGUUGGCUUUUGGAAUUGAGGCCACCAUCCCUGUUGAAGUCAGGUUGCCCAGCCAAAGGAGGCUCGAGCCCGAAGAUGCAGGGCGCACAACUGAACACCUCGACCUCUUGGAAGAAGUUCAGGAUCGGGCAGCUUUAAAAAUGGCUUCCUACCAGUAUAAAAUAGCAAAGUACUUCAAUAAAAAAGUAAGGACGCGGAGAUUUAGAGCCGGAGACCUUGUGUUAAGAAGGGCUAAAGUAACAGGUCAUGCCCCGGGCAAGCUAGGACCAGUUUGGGAAGGGCCCUUCGAAGUCAUACGACAACUCCAAGGAGGCGCAUACAGUUUAAGGGAUACGUCAGGAAGGUCGCUUCCAAGACCAUGCAACGCCGAGAAUUUAAAGAUAUAUUACAAGUAACUUGGUCUUCCAGUUAUUUGUAGUCAGGCCUGCGCAUCAAGGUUCACGUUUUCAAUUGUCAGGCCUGCGUGCCAAGUUUUAUUUUUCGAUAGUCAGGCCUGCAUGCCAAGGUUCACGUUUUUAGUUGUCAGGCCUGCGUGCCAAGUCUGUUUUUAAAGUAUAAUCAGAAUUAAGCAAUUCGUCAAAAUAUGAUCUAGCUACAAAAAGCCUUGCCUCGUACAAGCAACUCAAGCCUUACCCUGCGCAAGCAAUCAAAAAAGCCUUGCUUCGCGCAAGCAACUAAAGCUUUGCCCCGCGCAAGCAAUCAAAAAAGCCUUGCCCCGCGCGAGCAACUCAAGCCUUACCCCGCGCAAGCAAUCAACAAGUCUUGUCCCGCGCAAGCACGUCAAGUAACAGUCCCGAUCACACAGUGCCCGAUCAAUGGUAUGAGAGAUCUUAU
Molecule: long non-coding RNA, 1843 nt
Filed under: Olea europaea subsp. europaea
Lineage: Eukaryota; Viridiplantae; Streptophyta; Magnoliopsida; Lamiales; Oleaceae
Source: RNAcentral